RNAcentral lists this ribosomal RNA (492 nucleotides) under uncultured bacterium. RNAcentral describes it as "bacterial SSU rRNA". It matches the Rfam family "Bacterial small subunit ribosomal RNA", at positions 28 to 507 of the family's 1533-position model. The record is from RNAcentral.
GAUGAACGCUAGCUACAGGCUUAACACAUGCAAGUCGAGGGGAAACGAUAUUGGAAGCUUGCUUCCAAUAGGCGUCGACCGGCGCACGGGUGAGUAACGCGUAUCCAACCUGCCCACCACUUGGGGAUAACCUUGCGAAAGUAAGACUAAUACCCAAUGACGUCUCUAGAAGACAUCUGAAGGAGAUUAAAGAUUUAUCGGUGAUGGAUGGGGAUGCGUCUGAUUAGCUUGUUGGCGGGGUAACGGCCCACCAAGGCGACGAUCAGUAGGGGUUCUGAGAGGAAGGUCCCCCACAUUGGAACUGAGACACGGUCCAAACUCCUACGGGAGGCAGCAGUGAGGAAUAUUGGUCAAUGGGCGAGAGCCUGAACCAGCCAAGUAGCGUGCAGGAUGACGGCCCUAUGGGUUGUAAACUGCUUUUAUAAGGGAAUAAAGUGAGUCUCGUGAGACUUUUUGCAUGUACCUUAUGAAUAAGGACCGGCUAAUUCCGUG